UCGGGAAUUUUGGGCAAUGGGCGAAAGCCUGACCCAGCAACGCCGCGUGAGGGAUGAAGUAUUUCGGUAUGUAAACCUCGAAAGAAUGGGAAGAAUAAAUGACGGUACCAUUUAUAAGCUCCGGCUAACUACGUGCCAGCAGCCGCGGUAAUACGUAGGGAGCAAGCGUUGUUCGGAUUUACUGGGCGUAAAGGGCGCGUAGGCGGCGCGGUAAGUCACUUGUGAAAUCUCUGAGCUUAACUGUAGAACUGCCUUUGAUACUUUUAGUCUUGAGUUCGGGAGAGAGAGACGGAAUUCCAGGUGUAGUGGUGAAAUACGUAGAUAUCUGGAAGAACACCAGUUGCGAAGGCGGUCUCUUGGUCCGACACUGACGCUGAGGCGCGAAAGCGUGGGGAGCAAACA
RNAcentral lists this ribosomal RNA (402 nucleotides) under uncultured bacterium. RNAcentral describes it as "bacterial SSU rRNA". It matches the Rfam family "Bacterial small subunit ribosomal RNA", at positions 355 to 774 of the family's 1533-position model. The record is from RNAcentral.